GUGUCCGACCCUCAUUUUUUGGUUUGCACAGCCCUGAGUAUCAUAGAAGCCUUUGUCAGCAGUGCUGCAAUUUUCAGCAACAGGAGAUAAAGAGCAGAAGCUAAGCUAUGCUGAGGCUUCAGGAUGUCAUGAAACAACAACAGCAACGCACAUGUGGAAAUGGAGGUGGUUCAGGGAAUGCAUCGAUUGCAAAAAGAAUGAGAGAAAAAAAAAAAAGGAAACAGAAGAGAUGUCAUCGUGCACAAAUGCCUUCUGCUCAGUGGUUUUUGGCUGCAAGGCUUUUAGGGCAAGACUGUAGCAGCUUGAGAUGCACAACCCUGGGGCUGUUGGCCAAUGGGCACUUGAAUUCUCCGGCGUUUGCACAUCUCAUGCCAUACAUUUUUUUUCUGGGAGCACUCAGGGCUGGGGGACGCUUCGGAGGCUGCACAAGAGGAGGCUUUUUGUUCCUGACAUCACCACGGCUGCAUCGCUGGAGGACAAUGAGCCGCUUCUUGCAGUCUGGGCUGGCAUCUUGGCUUACUAAGGUUUUGCCCUGUGGAGGAAUGUUCCCCUAAAAUACAGUGGAUGGCUGCAGCAGCGUUAAAGACUCCAAUGAAGGUGACAGCUUGCAGCCCUGGGAAAAGGGGACGCUGCCUUUGUUGCCUGUUAGUGGGAUUGAGCCCCGUGCUGUUGCGGUACGAAGCUCCUUGGCCUCGUUCACAUCAAUCCCUGGGGUGUAAAGAGGUGUCAAACGCUUCUGGCUGCUUUGCGGAGAGGAAACGCUGCUUUUCCGGCAGUGAGCAGGAGGUCUGUGGGGGUUUAGCACAGCUGUUGUGUGCUGUGAUGGCUUUCAGAUCCUAUCCUGUCCCAUGCGCAGAUCGUGGCUCAGGGCUGAUGAUGCCGGAUGGUUUUUAUAUCUAUCUGCCAUUUCAGGCUGUGUUUUUGCAAUGAGGAUGGAUUUUCCCACUGAGUUGCACUGGGCUUGAGAUGCUGAGCGUGGAGACUGCAGCUUCAAAAUACGCAGAAGAACACAGAGCUUUAACCUUCCACAACACAGAGCCUCCAUCCCAGCUCCGGAGAUGUAAUUCCCUAUCCCCACUGGGAGGAUUCAGACUUACUUUCAUCCCCCUGACUUUUGAGGUUGGAUCAGGGACAAUGGGAAACGUGCUGUGUCCCCAGCACUGUAAAGCAGCACAUCAGUUGGUGCUGCUAGCGUCACCCUGCCUGAAGUGCCCUCUGGCUGUUCCCUGCACAAAGGGCCCAUUUUCUUCCAGUCUUGCCAUUUUUGAAAGCUGCCUCUGAGCCUUCGUCCCAUGGGUGUCACCAGCCCUGAGCCAGGGGAGAGGGGAUGGGGUCCCAUAAAUGGGGUCCAGCAGAUCUCCUGGGGGAUCCGGAUGGCUCUGCUGUGAUUCAGGGAGGACCUUGGGGAUUAUUGAUGCCAGUUCAUCAGCGAUCACCCCAGUGCUGUGGUUUGCACUGUGGUUUCUGGGACCUUUCCCAAUUAUCACCAUUUCCACGUGUUGUUUUCCCUCUUUGGGAAAUGCUUGUUUUGCACGGUGAGGGAAAGAAAAGGAACAGAGCAGCAUAGUCUGCAGCAGGGGAUGUGCACACGAUGGAUGCAUGGUGUGGAGCCAUCCUGGCCAGACGGAUGCUCACAAAUCCUGAGUUUAAAGCCUGAAUUGUGCCCUGUGUGAACCUCACACUGACAGGUAUGAGUAUCAUGGUGUUUAUAGUGGCUUUGUCGCCGGCUAGGAAGGUAUUCGAUGAGGCGAAGCAAGACAAAGACCUCCUGGGGCGAAGUCAUCCUUUGGGUAAACGCCAGCGCUGGUGAAAGGAGAAGACUACAUCUCCCAGGGUGCCCCACGGCCAUCAUGGCUGCCAGGCAGUGCGGUGCUAAAUACUACCAACCCCAGCAUGCAACGCGGCCCAAUAUGGCUGACCGGAAGUGCUUCCGGAAGACUACAUGUCCCAGGUCCUGGAUGGAGGACUACAGCUCCCAGUACGCUGUUACAUUCCGACAAGUUUGGCCCAGCAAAGGUGUGGCCCAGUCAGUGGCGGUGACAUCGCUCCUGCCGCCCGCUCCUCGCAGCGCUGCGGCUCCGGGUCUCUGGAGGGAGCAGCUGCCCACCCAAGGCCUACUGGGCGCCUCAGCAAGGAGCAGUGCGCAUGCGUCGGGCCGCGGCGCACGCGCGCAGCCUCCCUGCGCAUGCGUUCUUCGCCCAAUUGGCGCGAGGCUUUUCGGGCGCAGCAAUGCGCAUGCGUGCCAUGCAGGGAGACGGCAGCGCGCUUGCGCGGCAGCAGGGCGGGGCAGAGGGCGGGGCGAGCGGCGGUUUUGCGCAUGCGUCCCGCGGUAGACGGGAAGCACACAUGCGCGGACCCGCGCGCUCUGAGGCUGAGGGGCGGCCGCUGCCUCGCCCCGCUCCGGGCACCAGAGGGCAGCGCUGGCGCGGAGCUCUGUGGAGAAGUGAAGUCUUUCGUGCCUUUGCGUCUCUGGGGCUCCGCGCAGACUGACUCACAAGAACGCUCGAGGGCCAAAGUGAACGUGAUUUUAUUGUCUAUGGGUUCUGGAUGUUGUGGGGACUAUUCCAAGAGGAUGACAGAGACAGGUUUUCUUCUUGCUCUUUGACGCUGUAAGGAGGAGUGGGGACUUCAAAUGUAGCAUGAAACUGAGAAUAAUCAACA
Molecule: long non-coding RNA, 2661 nt
Organism: Phasianus colchicus (ring-necked pheasant)
Lineage: Eukaryota; Metazoa; Chordata; Aves; Galliformes; Phasianidae
Source: RefSeq, a predicted model, not a curated record